AUGCUGGACCUGAAGGUAGUGCCUGAACACUCUAUGGGGAAUGAGCAGUGCGAAUUCACGCUGGGAAUACUUCUGGCUCAGGCAGUAGCCAUUCUUCAGAAUCCCUGUCGCAUCCUCAAAAAUAUCCAGGUUCUCUACAGUGACUAGUCUCCUCUAAGCCAUGACCUCAUCCUUAACCUGACUCUGGACGGGAUCAAACUACUGUUUGAUGCUUUCAAUCAGAGACUCCAGGUGAUUGAAGUUUAUGACUUGAAAAAAGUAAAAUUAAAGUAUUGUGGAGUGCAUUUUAACUCUCAGGCCGUUGCUCCUACCGUUGAGCAAAUCGACCAGUCUUUUGCCACAACCUAUCCUGGAGUGUACAACUCUGCUGAGCACUUCCAUCUCAACUUCCGAGGAUUGUCUUUCUCUUCUCAGUUAGACUCAUGGACAGAGGCUCCCAAGUAUGAGGUUAGUUUUGCUCAUGGUCUGGCUUCUCUUCAGAUACCCCAUGGAGCAACUGUAGAACGAACGUACAUCUAUAGUGGAAACAGCUGCCAGGAUGUCAAGGCUCCUGUGAUGCCCCUAAGCUGUUUCCUGGAGAAUGUAUGUGCUGAAAGUGUAGAUGUUCUUUGAGAUGGAAUUGGACCCUGAGGGUUGCGACUUCGCUUGCUCGCUGCAGGCUGUGGACCUGGAGUAUUAGCAGAUGCCAAAAUGAGAGUAUUUGAGUGUGCGGUAUAUUUUGGUGAUUCUUGCCAAGAUGUUCUUUGCAUGCUUGGCUCUCCACACCAAGUCUUCUAUAAAUCUGAAGACAAGAUGAAAAUCCCCUCUCCUUCCCCUCAUAGACAAGUGCAAUCCAAGUACAACUACUUUUUUAACUACUUCACUCUUGGAGUGGACAUCAAAUACACGCAAAGUGAAGAAGUUUGUCUUGCAUACCAAUUACUCUGGGCAUUAUUAUUUUAACAUUUACCACCACUGUGAGUUCAAGAUCCAACUAGCUAUAAAAAAAGAAAAUGCAGGUGGUCAGACUGAAAUAUACACAACAGCAAGUGGAUAGCAUCCAGGAGCUUCUGGGCCAUCCUGUGGAGAAGCCUGUUGUCUCGCACAGGUCCUCAUCCCCAAAUAACACCAACCCGUUUGGCUCCACGUUCUGUUUUGGUCUUCAGCAGAUGAUCUUUGAGGUCAUGCAGAACAACCACAUUGCCUCAGUGACCUAUAUGCCCCCCCUAGGCCUGGUACCUACCUCAGAACAGCAGAGCUGCCCUAA
Molecule: non-coding RNA, 1246 nt
Organism: Mus caroli (Ryukyu mouse)
Lineage: Eukaryota; Metazoa; Chordata; Mammalia; Rodentia; Muridae
Source: RefSeq, a predicted model, not a curated record